Long non-coding RNA from Dromaius novaehollandiae (emu), 2535 nucleotides. The record is from Ensembl. NCBI's taxonomy places the organism in Eukaryota, Metazoa, Chordata, Aves, Casuariiformes, Dromaiidae.
CGCCGGAUCAGGCCCAGCCCAGGCCUCGCCGGCACGGAGAGCGGCGGGAGGAAGCGACACCGGCCGCUCCUCCUCUCUUCGCCUCGCCUCGCCUCACCUCACCCCACCGCUCCCGCUCCCGCCCCCGCCGCGCAUGCGCGCUGCCGCCGCUGGGCCGGGAUAAGAGCCGCACUAGGGUGUUGCGUUUAAGCGCCAUGCUAUACGGUAGCACGUGUCCUACCCUUUGCUUUACGGCCUCCAAAAUGGCGGCGAUAAGUGAGUGUAAAUACGGUGAAAGCAAGCGUUGUUCCAGUGCAGUAGCCGUUUGUUUUUCGAAAUAAAUACGAGACCGCCCAUCCGAAACCGUUUUAACCACAUCAGGACAGCAGGGCCCGCUCUGAGUAUAGGCGCAGGCUGAAACGAGGCUGUCAGGGAGCGCGGUAACCGCGAGGGAAGAGGGCAUGCCUAACGCCGUAUUUAUGCCGACGUCCUUCCGGGCUUGCCUAUCCGUAGGGGUAUAUACGGAAUUCCUCUGAAAAACGCGAGGGUCACGUCCCGGUGUUCAUGGGCUCCUUGACCUUCAAGCUGCACCUGGCCCUGAAGCUCCUCCUUCCUCAUACGAUCCUUUGGCAACGCGACACCUCUUCACCUUUCAGCUCUCCCUGCCAGCCAGAAGUGCCAUGGCGUUUUCCAGAGAAAAGGCUAUGCAACUGGCCACACACGUUGCACAAGCUUUUAGAUCACGCCUAGACUGACUGAUGGAUCACGUGCUGCAUGGCUGAGUCACUGACACUGCCGAUGCCGUUGCAGAGUGAGUCAUGAGGACUGUCAGCAAGAGGAGAGAUGGGGAGAGAGUGAUCCUGCUCCUGAGAGAUUCUAGCUGAACCUUAUCAAAACCAGGAGAAUUAAUCAAUAGCUACAUCAUAGGUAUCAUUUCCUGAGGUGGAGAAGUGCAGAUUUAGAAUCAUUUCCCAUAUUAUUGUCGUCUUUCUGACCACUGCAAAGAAAACUGAAUUGUUCUUGUUUUAGCAUUUUUAUGGUAUGUAGACAUGGCAAGAAAUUACUCUGGACCAACAGUUUAAAGUUUAGAAUAAUGCAGCCAGUUUUGCUGGAAGCAGAAUGGGGAGCAACUUUGCCGAUAGCUCAAAGAGGUAGUAGGCUGAAAAAAGAAGCUGUAACAACCUGAAGGGCAGAAAACACCGGAGAGCUCACGUCAGCACCUGAGACUAUUCCAAGGAAAGUGGUGGAGGACCCAGCUCUACCAUUCAGCUGGACAACAUGCCAGGCGCAGAGUGCCCGCUGCUGCCCGCACGCCCCUUGUGAGCGAUCACAGAGCCUGAGCACUGUUCCAACGGAAAUGUGCAGAGAUGGCACAACAGGUCACAGCAUUCCUUAUGUUUCUGAAAAAGGACUCUGCAUAGACGUUUUCUUCCCAGUAUUUCCUCCUUGAUCUGGUUAAGAUUGUGACAGAUAGGGUCUGAAGGUUAUGAGCACUCAGCAUAUUAUCUCUAUCUAAAUGGCUCUGAGUCAGGCUCUGGGUUUGGCACGAUGGAGUGAUGGUGCCAACUUGUCUCCCAGAAUGGGUGAAUUCAGCUGCUGUGUGCUGAGGUGAUUGGAACAGUAGUAGUUUGGAAGCAAGGAGGAAAGGUGAAAAUCCAACAAGCAUCCUAAUGAGAGAGAGAGUACUGCCUGAACCAGCUCCAAAGGGAGGGUAGCCACAGGCCCUGCUCUUGGAGCACAGAUGUGGAAGGAGGCUGGCAAAGAAGAAGCUGGCACAGUCAUUCUGAGACAGCUACAGGAGGUCUGCAGUAAAGCAGUGCAUAUAUGCAAUACCCAGAGGUCUGCUGGAGUAAGAGUACCUUUUGAAAAGUUUUGAACAAAUUUAUACCAGCAGAUCCAUUUUAGGUCAAAGGAGGAAUUUGUAUUCUGUGGCAGUUGCAUUUUUAUUCCAACUCUGCAGGUGCUAAAGAAGGAUUUACAGUCUUAUGAAACCUGUAUCUGGGGCAUAAAUCUUAACUAAUAGAGUUGCAUCAUUGUAAUUCCCCAACUUGUAGAGGUGUUCUUUUGUAUUAGAAGAAGAUCCUUCCACAGUGUAAUUUAUAUCACUUGGGAAGGAAUUCAAAUAAGACAACAAAAUCAUGUAUAUGACCAUAUUGAUGUAACUGGUAAACUACUCCUAGGUUUGUACAGCCUUACUGAUAUUUUUUACCAACUUCAACUAAUUUGUUUAAAGACACUGUCAGUAUGGUAUAUGAACAUCUUUCCAAGGAACUGGCAUUAAUGUAAUUAAAGCACAUCUAAAUUAAUUUAGCUAUAUGGGUGCAAUGUUUGUAUAUAAACAAGCUUUAACAGAGUCAAGAAUUCUUAAAGAGUAUGCUUCUCACAGUUUUCUUAAGUAUGGUUUUGCUGGGAUACAAUUAAAAAUGCUUGGAGUACUUUGUAAACUAAGCAAUAUGCGUUAGAAAUUAAACUUCUGGCAUUUAUGUGAUUGUGAUUCUAUCCAAAUUAUAAUUUAARCCAAAUAAACAUUUGCCCUUUGUAAAGAAUGGGUUUGGG